AUUAAUUGAGGGUUUGAUCCUGGCUCAGGACGAACGCUGGCGGCGCGCCUAACACAUGCAAGUCGAGCGGAGAUAUUAGUAAUAAUAUCUUAGCGGCGGACGGGUGAGUAACGCGUGGGCAACCUGCCUUAAAGAGGGGAAUAACUUAGGGAAACUUAAGAUAAUACCGCAUAACACUAUAGUAGAGCAUUCUACAGUAGUCAAAGGAGCAAUCCGCUUUAAGAUGGGCCCGCGUCUGAUUAGCUAGUU
RNAcentral lists this ribosomal RNA (249 nucleotides) under Clostridiales bacterium. RNAcentral describes it as "partial 16S ribosomal RNA". It matches the Rfam family "Bacterial small subunit ribosomal RNA", at positions 1 to 250 of the family's 1533-position model. The record is from RNAcentral. Lineage: Bacteria; Bacillati; Bacillota; Clostridia; Eubacteriales.